GCGUUUGAGGUUCUGGGCUUUGUCUCAGUCAUGUCUAACUGCUGGCUGCUACUGCUGUCUCCUCGGGUUAGGCAGUUCUGUCUGGAGGGAGGGAUCAGCGGCAAGAACAUCAUACUCUUCAUCUUCCUGGUCGAGUGCCAUUUCAGCAAAGCCCCGUGUAAGCAUGUAGUGCCCCCUGGGGCUAUAUAGACCCAACACAGUGGAAGCCAUGACCCAAAACAUCAAUACAGUGUUGGUCUGGAGACUCUGGACCUGGGGGCUCAUUAGAACCAGCUGCCACGACGAAGAUGGUGAUGAUCCACAGACAAGUCUGGGAGCUGAGCCAUGAGAGCCUGCUCUCCGCCCCAAGAAACUCUGUCAGUAUCUCCCUCUGGAGGACUGCUUCAGUCAUAAGUGGUCUCUCAUGUCAUGGGAGAUACUAGAGAGAAGGCCAGGGACUAAAGGGAAACGCAAAGAAGAAGAGCUAUGUUCAUUGUGUUAAUAUAGCAUUAGCAUCCUUUUUUCCCCCAUGUUGCAUAUCAUUUUGUAAAAUGUUCCCAGUGUGCUCCAUGUAAUUUCCCAUUAUCAGUGUUACAUUGUAUGCUUAACUUAUAAUAGGCACAUCACAAACACAACAAGAGUACUUGAUAUCACAUAAUACAGUAUAUCUGUGCACUUCUACUUGAAGUUGACUAUAUUUUAAACAUUUGGAUUGAUGAGCUUGUUGUUGGAAUAU
Oncorhynchus keta (chum salmon) is the source of this 715-nucleotide long non-coding RNA. RefSeq lists it as uncharacterized. The transcript has 3 exons. The record is from RefSeq and is a predicted model, not a curated record. Lineage: Eukaryota; Metazoa; Chordata; Actinopteri; Salmoniformes; Salmonidae.